UACGAAGGGGGGCUAGCGUUGCUCGGAAUCACUGGGCGUAAAGCGCACGUAGGCGGCUUUUUAAGUCAGAGGUGAAAUCCCUGGAGCUCAACUCCAGAACUGCCUUUGAUACUGGAGAGCUUGAGUCCGGGAGAGGUGAGUGGAACUGCGAGUGUAGAGGUGAAAAUUCGUAGAUAUUCGCAAGAACACCAGUGGCGAAGGCGGCUCACUGGCCCGGUACUGACGCUGAGGUGCGAAAGCGUGGGGAGCAAACAGGG
This 257-nucleotide ribosomal RNA is filed under the name uncultured bacterium. RNAcentral describes it as "partial 16S ribosomal RNA". It matches the Rfam family "Bacterial small subunit ribosomal RNA", at positions 524 to 777 of the family's 1533-position model. The record is from RNAcentral.